ACUCAAAGGAAUUGACGGGGACCCGCACAAGCAGCGGAGCAUGUGGUUUAAUUCGAAGCAACGCGAAGAACCUUACCAAGGCUUGACAUCCCCUUGACCAGUGCAGAGAUGUACUCUCUUCUUCGGAAGCAAGGGAGACAGGUGGUGCAUGGUUGUCGUCAGCUCGUGUCGUGAGAUGUUGGGUUAAGUCCCGCAACGAGCGCAACCCUUAUCCUUAGUUGCCAGCAUAUAAGGUGGGCACUCUAAGGAGACUGCCGGUGAUAAACCGGAGGAAGGUGGGGAUGACGUCAAAUCAUCAUGCCCCUUAUGUCUUGGGCUACACACGUGCUACAAUGGUCGGUACAACGGGGAGCGAAGGAGUGAUCCGGAGCAAAUCCCAAUAAACCGAUCCCAGUUCGGAUUGCAGGCUGCAACUCGCCUGCAUGAAGUCGGAGUUGCUAGUAAUCGCGAAUCAGCACGUCGCGGUGAAUGCGUUCCCGGGUCUUGUACACACCGCCCGU
This 500-nucleotide ribosomal RNA is filed under the name uncultured bacterium. RNAcentral describes it as "bacterial SSU rRNA". It matches the Rfam family "Bacterial small subunit ribosomal RNA", at positions 899 to 1397 of the family's 1533-position model. The record is from RNAcentral.